GACGGACCGUACGAACGUUAUUCGGAAUCACUGGGCUUAAAGGGUGCGUAGGCUGUGCGGAAAGUUGGGUGUGAAAUCCCUCGGCUUAACCGAGGAACUGCGCCCAAAACUACCGUGCUCGAGGGAGACAGAGGUGAGCGGAACUUAGGGUGGAGCGGUGAAAUGCGUUGAUAUCCUAAGGAACACCGGUGGCGAAAGCGGCUCACUGGGUCUCUUCUGACGCUGAGGCACGAAAGCCAGGGGAGCGAACGGG
This 253-nucleotide ribosomal RNA is filed under the name uncultured bacterium. Its description in RNAcentral is "partial 16S ribosomal RNA". It matches the Rfam family "Bacterial small subunit ribosomal RNA", at positions 524 to 776 of the family's 1533-position model. The record is from RNAcentral.